Misgurnus anguillicaudatus (oriental weatherfish) is the source of this 1229-nucleotide non-coding RNA. The record is from RefSeq and is a predicted model, not a curated record. Lineage: Eukaryota; Metazoa; Chordata; Actinopteri; Cypriniformes; Cobitidae.
CUUUAUUUUUAGCUUCUUCACAACUCUCUACCACGACAGCUGUCCUCCUCCUCCCUUUCACAGUGCAACGUCAGGAAUAGCGACUCUGUCCCCCGGCCUCAGAUCUGGGGCUGCCGGUUAGCGUGACGUGAGUUCUGUGGUUCUCAAAGCUGUUAGUCGGUGUAAACACAUAUUUUGCAGUUAGCUUAGCUCUGGUUUGAUGGUGGUAGGAGAGCAUCACUGACACUGUGAAUCUGCUGAAGAUCUCAGCACCAGGAACCUCUUUCCAGCAUUGUGGGUCUUAUUUACCUGACGCUUGUGACCUCGUAGCAUAACUGUGAGGAUCGGCAUCCAUUGUGCCAGCAUCUUGUCUGCUGGUCCCUCCAUCUGUCACUCAUCCUUUCACCCUGUCCUCCCUCAUCUCUCUCCGCCCUCAAACCCUUACCCGGCCCAGCCCAUGACAGCAGCGCUGCCAGCAUGGCAUUCUCAUCACGCUUUUCCUUCUGGGAGCAAAAGGAAAGUGAUGUUCCAUUCUCCAUUUUCAUCUCUCUGCACUGUGUGACAUCAGCUCGGUGUUGUGCAUGCAAUGCACCGAUGCUCGCACUUUUAUAUCUAUCUGUAGCAAUGCACUGGGGUGCCGCUUGCACGGUUCAUGAGCACACAGCUGCUAACGGCCUCUAUUCAGGGCACGGCUGGAUAUACGUGUGUGUGUGUGCGUGUAAGGUAGCAGAUGGAAAACACAAGUCACUGUUUGAAAAUGACCAGCGUGCUUUUAUAGUCAUGGGAGACUGUAGUUUGUCAGCUCUCUGCCAUAGCUCAUUUGAUUACGUUUUGAAAGGCUGCCACUGGCCUGAACACAGCGGUAAAGUGAUGCCACUGCUUUGUAAAGGGCAAGCACUGGAAAUUUUGGUGACUUUUUAGGCUUCUGUAUUUUUCAUUAAUUUAAGUUUCUCAGUCUAACCUGGUCUUUAAAAUGUUAGAAAUGAUUUUGAAGUGCAUGCAUGAAAUGUGUGCAAAAUAAGUGACUCAUUUUUAUGUAAAUGCUAAUUGCCUUUUUACAUGGACCCUUAUAGAUCAAAGAGGAGAACAAGCCAAAGAAUUCCAAAGAAAAUUCUGACAGUGAUGGCAGCCUAAGUAGCCGCUCCCAGUCAGUGCCCUGCCUUGAGCCUGGCAGAGGUCUGCUGCGUGCCAAGAGCCCUUCUCCUGUUCAGGACACGCCUGCCCAGGUCCAGUAUCAGCCUCACCUGAGG